RNAcentral lists this long non-coding RNA (600 nucleotides) under Ananas comosus (pineapple). RNAcentral's name for it is "long non-coding RNA (ACOM_LNC034395)". Lineage: Eukaryota; Viridiplantae; Streptophyta; Magnoliopsida; Poales; Bromeliaceae. The record is from RNAcentral.
GGUGAGAUUAGAGCCAAGAAAAUAAAAUAUUAAAAAUAAGUAAAAUAAAAAGAAUAAAGAAUAAAGAAUAAAAUAUAAAUAAAAAUAUUUUUUUCUGCAAGAAAAAUAAAGAAUCAGAGAGAAAAGAAGAAGAUAAUGAAGAUGCACUGCUUUAGAGGAAUGUUGUACUGUUUUAAAAAAAAUUAUACUUUUUUGAAUGAAAACUGCAUUCUUUAAAUGAACCUUGCACUUUUAGGACGAAAAUUAUACUGUUUCUCCUCCUCCACACGAAAAUGAAGAGAAAUGAGGAGGGAGAAGAGAAGAAAUAGUGUAAUUUUCGUCCAAAGAGUGUAACUUUCACUCAAAGAGUGUAAUUUUAUUCAGAAAAGUUUAAUUUGCCUCUCAAAUAGUUUACGUUUUUCUUAAAAUAGUGCAACAUUUUUUCUAAAAUAGUGUAACUUCAUCAUCUUCUUCCUAUCUCUCUUAUUCUUUAUUUUUCUUGUAACUUCUUUUCACCCUAUCUGACCCUCAUUGUAGUGUUCCGGAGGUUUAGAUAGGAUUGGCUACAGUAUUAGUGACUGGUCGACACAUCUGGAGAGUGUCGGACUGAGUCGGAGUUGU